CGAAUAUAUUAUUUAUUUCGUUUGAGUUGCUAACAUAUAUGGCUCAUUCUGGUACAAUGUUCAUGCAAAAUUUAUACUGAUAAAGUAUAGAUCGAUAUGAAUACCGAUUUUCUUAUUACUAAUAUCCCAUCAUUUACACUAAAAUAAGAAUAUCGAAUUAUUGGACCUAUACUUCAGUUCUAUGAUAUCUACCAAUACACCA
This 202-nucleotide long non-coding RNA is filed under the name Elaeis guineensis (African oil palm). RNAcentral's name for it is "long non-coding RNA (EGUI_LNC024619)". Lineage: Eukaryota; Viridiplantae; Streptophyta; Magnoliopsida; Arecales; Arecaceae. The record is from RNAcentral.